Molecule: transfer RNA, 72 nt
Filed under: Ovis aries (sheep)
Lineage: Eukaryota; Metazoa; Chordata; Mammalia; Artiodactyla; Bovidae
Rfam family: tRNA
About the family: Transfer RNA (tRNA) molecules are approximately 80 nucleotides in length. Their secondary structure includes four short double-helical elements and three loops (D, anti-codon, and T loops).
Source: Rfam by way of RNAcentral
UCGCUCAUAGCUCAGUUGGUAAAGAAUCUGCCUGCAGUGCAGCAGACCUGGGUUCGAUUCCCGGGUGGGGAA